RNAcentral lists this ribosomal RNA (1475 nucleotides) under Salmonella enterica. RNAcentral's name for it is "partial 23S ribosomal RNA". It matches the Rfam family "Bacterial large subunit ribosomal RNA", at positions 711 to 2167 of the family's 2925-position model. Lineage: Bacteria; Pseudomonadati; Pseudomonadota; Gammaproteobacteria; Enterobacterales; Enterobacteriaceae. The record is from RNAcentral.
AGACCCGAAACCCGGUGAUCUAGCCAUGGGCAGGUUGAAGGUUGGGUAACACUAACUGGAGGACCGAACCGACUAAUGUUGAAAAAUUAGCGGAUGACCUGUGGCUGGGGGUGAAAGGCCAAUCAAACCGGGAGAUAGCUGGUUCUCCCCGAAAGCUAUUUAGGUAGCGCCUCGUGAAUUCAUCUCCGGGGGUAGAGCACUGUUUCGGCUAGGGGGCCAUCCCGGCUUACCAACCCGAUGCAAACUGCGAAUACCGGAGAAUGUUAUCACGGGAGACACACGGCGGGUGCUAACGUCCGUCGUGAAGAGGGAAACAACCCAGACCGCCAGCUAAGGUCCCAAAGUCAUGGUUAAGUGGGAAACGAUGUGGGAAGGCCCAGACAGCCAGGAUGUUGGCUUAGAAGCAGCCAUCAUUUAAAGAAAGCGUAAUAGCUCACUGGUCGAGUCGGCCUGCGCGGAAGAUGUAACGGGGCUAAACCAUGCACCGAAGCUGCGGCAGCGACACUAUGUGUUGUUGGGUAGGGGAGCGUUCUGUAAGCCUGCGAAGGUGACCUGUGAGGGUUGCUGGAGGUAUCAGAAGUGCGAAUGCUGACAUAAGUAACGAUAAAGCGGGUGAAAAGCCCGCUCGCCGGAAGACCAAGGGUUCCUGUCCAACGUUAAUCGGGGCAGGGUGAGUCGACCCCUAAGGCGAGGCCGAAAGGCGUAGUCGAUGGGAAACGGGUUAAUAUUCCCGUACUUGGUGUUACUGCGAAGGGGGGACGGAGAAGGCUAUGUUGGCCGGGCGACGGUUGUCCCGGUUUAAGCGUGUAGGUGUGUGUUCCAGGUAAAUCCGGUUCACUUUAACACUGAGGCGUGACGACGAGGCACUACGGUGCUGAAGCAACAAAUGCCCUGCUUCCAGGAAAAGCCUCUAAGCAUCAGGUAACAUCAAAUCGUACCCCAAACCGACACAGGUGGUCAGGUAGAGAAUACCAAGGCGCUUGAGAGAACUCGGGUGAAGGAACUAGGCAAAAUGGUGCCGUAACUUCGGGAGAAGGCACGCUGACACGUAGGUGAAGUGAUUUACUCAUGGAGCUGAAGUCAGUCGAAGAUACCAGCUGGCUGCAACUGUUUAUUAAAAACACAGCACUGUGCAAACACGAAAGUGGACGUAUACGGUGUGACGCCUGCCCGGUGCCGGAAGGUUAAUUGAUGGGGUCAGCGCAAGCGAAGCUCCUGAUCGAAGCCCCGGUAAACGGCGGCCGUAACUAUAACGGUCCUAAGGUAGCGAAAUUCCUUGUCGGGUAAGUUCCGACCUGCACGAAUGGCGUAAUGAUGGCCAGGCUGUCUCCACCCGAGACUCAGUGAAAUUGAACUCGCUGUGAAGAUGCAGUGUACCCGCGGCAAGACGGAAAGACCCCGUGAACCUUUACUAUAGCUUGACACUGAACAUUGAGCCUUGAUGUGUAGGAUAGGUGGGAGGCUUUGAAGUGUGG